GUGAAUCAUCAAAUCUUUGAACGCAUAUUGCACUCUCUGGUAUUCCGGAGAGUAUGCCUGUUUGAGGGUAAGUAAAAAGAAUCUUUGACCAAUUUUUUGUGGUCAAAGGAAAUGAGUUCUCCGCGUUUAUAGCUGUAGCUGGAAAUAAAUGGUCAAGUCUCAUUUGAUUCGAUACGCAUAAUAAUAUUAUUUCUCGAAAUCGUCUUUAUUUUACUAUCAAGUUUGUAUGCAUACAAAUUUGUUUUGUAUGCGAUCAAUCCAAAUAUUUUGAACAUUACCUCAAAUCA
This 287-nucleotide unclassified non-coding RNA is filed under the name Ambisporaceae sp. Its description in RNAcentral is "partial contains 5.8S ribosomal RNA and internal transcribed spacer 2". The stretch from base 1 to 71 matches the Rfam family "5.8S ribosomal RNA", at positions 84 to 154 of the family's 154-position model. The record is from RNAcentral. Lineage: Eukaryota; Fungi; Glomeromycota; Glomeromycetes; Archaeosporales; Ambisporaceae.